CUUAGCGUGUAGAUUGUUCACGGGGGGCAAAUCCAUACCAAAUUCUAACUGCUUGCAUUUGGGGUGUCUUUUCAAAUUACAUUCUUUUUGGAAUUUGAUAUCAAUUGUAUUUUCUGAAUUGAGCUGAUAGAAUAUAAGCUCAUGCAGUUGUAGUUGUAGCCUCUAAGGAUUUUGAUUUGGGGCUUGUGGCUUGAAGAAAGUGCACUUUUAGAUAUCGGAUAUUUUCGCACAUGGCUCCAAAUCUGAGGCUAAGAUUAUGUUUUCCCGUGUUUUUUUUUCUUGCUGGGUUUUCUCUUGAAUUCAAAUGGCGAAUUGAAUCAUCAAGUUUCACUUAAGGUCAUAGCUGCUCCUCGUAAAGAUGUAGGAACUAAUGUAAUUGAUGGCACUGGUGUAGAGAAUGCCUUUAAUUUUGAGAAUGGCAAUAGUGCGGUGGGUAGUAGGA
This 442-nucleotide small RNA is filed under the name Vigna angularis var. angularis. RNAcentral describes it as "Non-protein coding transcript". Lineage: Eukaryota; Viridiplantae; Streptophyta; Magnoliopsida; Fabales; Fabaceae. The record is from RNAcentral.